ACUACUUCUUCUUCUUCUUCUUCUUAUUAUUAUUUUUAAACUAUAAUUUUUGUGUUUUAUAUAAUUUUAAUGAUUUUUUUCUUUUCUUCUUAGUAUUAAAAUCGUAAUUAAAUAUUAAAAUUAUAACCGUUCGAUCACUUUAUAAUCGUAAAUCGAUGCAUAUCGAUCGAUAAUCGAAAUGUUUGUCGGCUAUUGAUUGGUUGAAAAGAUUUAAUUUAUUUGUAUCAUUGGAAGAUUUGAAAAAUAUGCUCAUAUUGAUAAUUUAUUAUUUUAAAAGUGAAAAUUUAUAAAUUAAUACUUUCGAUAAUUUUUCAAUUAUUUAAACAAUCAUUAAAGUACACUGUGUAGAAUAAAAUAAUAUUUAAAUGAUAAUAUAUUCCCUUAAACAUUACAAAGCUCGUAACGCGCGGGAAAUUCAUAAUAAUUUUAAAUCAAUAUUUCAAUACUUAAAAAAUUUUAUCCCAAUAAACGUAAAGUAUAAUUAAUCGAUAUUUAAACAAUAGGACGUUCUUAUCGUCCUAUUGUUUAAUGAAACAAAUUGAAACGCAUAGAAAACUUUAUUUCAUUUUAUUCUUUCGAAAUUUGUGGUACAGGAAUUUCAAAUCUAACAGGAAAAAAAAUAUUAAUAAGAAUGUUAAUAUUGAUAUUUAAUUUUAAAUAACUACAGUGCAAUAACGUCUAAAUACAUAGAGUUAUAUGAAUAUUAAAAUUAAUUAAUUGUUUUACUGAAUAACAGCUCUUAAAGUUGUGAAGUACGAAAAGGCCGAAGAUAGGUACUAAAAUAUAUAUAUAUAAAAUUAUAUAAUGUAUCGAUGUGUGUGAGAAGUAUUGAUAAUUAUAAUGAUAAUAAACGUACCGACAUGUAAUAAGUUAGAGAAAAUGCAGGUAAAAAUCCAGGAAUACUGACUGUAACUGGUUUUUGAGAUCUUUCGAUUAUAAUACAAACAUUUUUCCACAUUUCUCGUGAUUUAUCAUACCAAUUCAAAUCAAAAAAUGCCGAUCCAAUCGCAUUACUCUUUAAUAAUAAUUUUUAAUAAAAUAAUAAAGUGUACAAGUUGUAUAAUUAUCAUUGUUUAUAUUAUCUAAAUAAAUAAGGAAAGUUAUUAUUACCCUUUGUAUUAAAUUUUCAGCCGGAUAUGAGUUUACGAACAUUUGAAUAAUGGUGAGAAUAUCCAGUAUGAGAAAUUGUGAUUUGACAGCCGCCGAGUCUGUCUGUAAUUAUAAAAAAGGAUACAUUAAAAAGUAAUUGUAAUAUCAAAAAAUUCAACAAUAAUUUGUAUAUAGACAUAUCAUUUGUAUAUAAUUAUAAAUAUUAUCGAUUCGAUUAAAAUAAUGAUUAUUUAGUUGUUAUAAUAAUGAUACUAACAAAGAGGAAUAAGAGUCCACUAAACACUAUUAAUAUGGUCGUAAUACCAACAGUCAAAAAGAUCACAAUACGCACAGUUUUUACUACCUUUUCUGCGUAACUAAAAAAGAAAUAAGAAUAACACGUGUUCAUGUAUAUAUUAAAUAAAUUUUUUUUUUUCUUAUUCUAAUGAGAAAAAUAUUACCUGAGUAACUGAAUAUGUUUCAAUAUACAUCGUUUGAGAUCAGAUUCGUCGACGAUAUUAGCUAUUUCAUUUUCCAAUAUUUCAAAUCUUGCACCAGUGAACCAUAGUAGAACUGCGACAAAGUUAUCAACCGAUUGACCUGCAGCACAUUGGAUUCCAGUAUAUACAUGGUGAAAAUAAGCAAAUUCGUAUGCGGGAUGUUUAUCCACAUCGAAAGGAUAUACGGCAUAAGUUGGUAAGGGCUGUGGUAGAAAUAAUGGUCCUAACACGAUAUUCGCACUGAUUGCAUAAGUUCCAAAAGUCAUGGAUAAGUGAAGUUUCAUAACUUUUUUAAUAUAUUUUUCUAAUGUAUCUCUUUCGUUUGGUGAUGCUUGUUUAAUGACACUUUCCAUUUCCUCUAUUAUCAUCUGAAACAAUUGAAAUAAUUAUGUAGACGAUGUUUUAAUUGGAAAUGUUAGAUCAAAUUCAAAUUUGUAUUUUAUUAAACCUGAUAGCUCGAACGUUGUAGUCUACCAGUCAAAAGUUUUAUACCCACUUGCAUAGCAGCGAUUACUACACACGAUGACUGCAUUAUAAUUUCAAAAUUAUCACGAUAUGUAUAGAUUCCAUUUAAUGUGGCCAGUACCACCGAUUGAGCACACAGAAAAGAAAAGCAAAUGUAUAAAUCUAAAAUGAACAAUUUUAUCUUCGAAGAGUUCUUCGAUGGUGGCCAAAAAAUCAUCAAAUCAAUACUUCUCUUUGUAAACUUUAAUGCUGCUUCGGGAGUAACCUUCAUGAUAAUAUGAUUUAUUAUUUUUCCUUUUUUUUUUAAAGUGACUGAUCUGUACGCGAAUACUAUUCGUUUAAAACUAUUCGAUGUUGAUGAAUAACCUGUUUAUAGAUCAUAAUUUUAGUUUAAGGAUGAACGAAAGUAAAAUAACACAUUUACUUAGGUAAUAAUUUUACAAACGUUUCGAAGAAAUUCUCUCUAAUUUUCCGCUCGAUAUUCUUAUGUAAACGCUUAUUUUAACUUUUGCCAAUGCAGUCUUACUACUUAGACUCACUGAAGGGUAUAAAUCAAUCAGGAGUUCUCUAUACGCUACCAUCUGUAAUUAUUUUAAAUUACUGCGUGCGAAGAAAAUAAGUUAUUCUCACUGCAUUUUCUUCCUAUAAUUUUCAUACGUAUAAUUUUCUAAUUGGAAUAACACGAUAGAGGAAUAAUAAAUAAUUGUGUAUAUGUAGAGAAAAUCGAUUAAAUCGAGUAGAGUAAGCGAUUAAAUUUUAAUUUUAAUUUUAUCUCUUUGCAAUAAUGAAAUUAAAUCGAAUUAUUUACCGAAGCCUCUGUUUUUUGAUUCAUUUGCGAUUUUACUGUGGAAUAGAACAUUUAUACGAAGAGUUCAGAAAACAAAUACACGGAAGGGAUAUCCCUUAAAUUUUGAAAAUAUUUGAUAUAUUUCUAAACAUUUGUACAUUGCAAAUAUGUAAGUACAGGGACAAGUUAUUGAAUUUAUUAAAUUUAUAUUCUUAACAUCAUGGAAUCUAAUCGUUCAAUAAAAUAUUGCAGCGAAAAUUUUAAGUAAAAUCGAGAUGUAGCUUAUUACAAAAUUUAAAUACACGUUCAUUAAUGAUGUUAAUUGAUUUAAUCGAUAAAAUUUCCUUUUGUAUUUUCGAUGAAUCGAAGUAAAAAAGAAAUUCAACGAUUAAUAACAAUAUCUAUUGUUUUCUAGAUAUAGAUUCAAUAGUUGUUUAAAAUAGAUAAUUUUGUGAAUGAGGAGCGAAUAAAAUAAUCCAUUAGACAAGUUAUCUAUAAUUUCUACGUUUUAACGUAUAAUUAUUAAUUUUAUUAUAAUACCAGGCUCAAUGAACGCCAUUAAUUAAAGUACAAAUUACUAGAAUUAGAAAUAAAUAGAAAUUACUAGAAAAAAUUGAUAACAUUAUAUUGGAUGUUGUAAUAAUAUAAAAUAAUGUAAAUGAUAAUAACAUUAUUGUUAAUUUAAUAAUACUACAAGAUUAAGUACAGCUAAUUUCCUUUUUUUCAUUUUCUAGAAUUAUUACGACGGCCUGUAAUCGUUUUAUCAAGAUAAUGGAGGAAUACACACACAAAGGCAAACACAAUAUGGCGUUUUAUUUUCUUCCGUAGAAGAGUAGCUUUGAUUACAAGAGACAUUUAUAAAUGAAAGCUGGAUGAGAACAUAGAAAUAAUUGAAUAACUGCACCAAUAACGAGAAUGACGAAUUGAAUUUUCAUGGUUGUUGAUUUCGCCUGUGAUCGAGAAAAAGAAAAAGAAAAAGAAAGAAAAAAAAAAAAGAAAGAAAAGAAGAACUAACAUAUCAAAGAAUAUAAUUCAAUAAAAUUCAAAUGAUAAGGAAAAUAUUCAAUGAUAAUAUAAGAUAGAGAUAAAUUUUUACAUAACUAACAAAAAUAAGUUGUAAUCCACCGAAUAUCAUGAUCAGGGCAGAUAUACAAGUAGUUAUAAGAAUGAUAUAACGUACAGUUAUAACAACGUCCUUCGCGUAUCUAAAAAUGAAAAGUAACGUGUGAUAGAGUAAGUAUUUAAUUUCAUAAAAUGCAAAGAAAAAAAAAAAAAAAAAAAAAGAAAAAAAGAAAAAAGAAAAGAGAAAAGAAUAAAGCCAAUUAUAUUGUGAUAAACUAUUAAUAAUUUACCUAAGCAAAUGCAAAUGUUUACGUAUGCAACAAUUUAGAUCAAAUAAAUUGAUAAAUCUUGUUAAUUCCAUGCACAAAAUUUCAAAUCUUGCCGAGGUGAACCACAAUAAAACUGCAACCUGACAAUCAAUGGUACCACCGACGGAUGCUAAAAUUCCAACGAAUCCUUGGUGAAAGUAAAUUAUUUCGUAUAUGGGAUGCGAAUCAACUUUAAAAGGAUACUUGGCGUAUGUUGGCAAUGGUUGGGAUAAUAUCGCCGGUCCUAAAAUAAGACCUGAACAAAUCACGUAAAAGCCAAUGGUUGUAAUUAAAUGAAAAAUCGCACAUCUCUUUACAUAAUUUUGUAAUAUUCUUUUCUCCAAAGGGUUAGCUCGUUUUACGAAAUUUUCCAUCUCCAGGAUUAUCGACUGCGAUCAAGAACAGGAAACAAAAAAAAGAAAAAAAAAAAAAAAAAAAAAGACAAAAAGACGAAAUGAAAAAUAGAACGAACAUCGAACUAACUCGUUCGAACGUUGAAAUGAAAUUGUCAAAAAGGGUAAUAAUGGAAGGAAAAACGACAAAAAAAAGAGAGAGAGAGAGAGAGAGAGAAGAAAUAAAGUACAAAAGAAAAAGAAGGAAAAAGAGAAAAAUUUGAUUUACCUGAAAUUUCCAACGUUGCUUUCUCAAUAUCAACAUCUUUAUACACAUUUGACAGACACCUGCUAGAAUGCACGUAGUUUGUAUCGUAAUUAAAGUAUUCUGACGAUACUCAUAAAUCCCAUUAAUUAAUGCUAAAAGCAAGAACGUAGCGGUUAAAAACGAUGUCCACCAAUAAAUGUCACGCAAGAGUAAUUGUUUUUUUGUUGCGUUUAAAGGGGGCGGCCAACAGCCCAUUAUUAUAACACUCAUUUUCGUAAAUUUCAAAGCAGUUUCCGGUGUAAUAUCAAAUAUCAUUAUUUAUUACAAUAUAUAACAAUAAAUUCACUCGAUAAUGUUAUAAAAUUGAUCGUACGUAAGAAAUACUUUUGUAACCAUCGGCUCGAUAUUAGAUCGUUACAAUUUAGUGACAUUCGAUAACUUAUCAUAAAUACAAUCUCAAUAAUGAUUUUCGUUCGUGUACGCGUAUCGAGAGAUCGAGCGAAAUAAAUAAAUAAAUCAUUUGACAAUUAAUGUAUACAACGUUGCUUUCACGACCUGACUAUUACCAUCGAUUACUUCGUAAUGCCGGUUUAAAUCCAACGUUUCUAUGAUAUUAUCCGAAGUUUAUUUCCUUUCAUCGAAUUUCAAUUAGGUAUAUUAUAUUUAUCGAAUAAUGAGUACCGUUUAAAAUACAUUUGAAGAAUUCUAAUUUUUUUCUUUCUUUCUUUUUCCUUUUUUUCUUUUCCUUUCUUUUCUUUUCAUCAUCUUAAGCUAUGAUUACAAAUCUAUAGUUCGCAUUGUAAUAAUAUAGGAAAACGUAGAAAAAUAUCUUUUCAUAUCUUUUGCACUUACGGUUACGUAUUCCAUUAUGCUUACGAAGAUUACUAUUUCCUCUAUUCCCUCACACCCCCCACCCUCUCCCCGUACACCCUUUCGUAAGAGUAUGAAUAUGUUAUCAAGGGUUUUCAUACAUCUUUUCUUUUUCUUCUUCUUCUUCUUUUUUUUCUUCUUCUCUCUUUAACUUCUCUCUUUAACUAUUAUCAUUCAUUAUUUCGCAUCGAUACUUCCACCCUUAUUUUCUUUUCCCUAGUUCUAUUUCUAUGUGCUAUCGAGGAACAAAUUAUGAAUUUUCUUCACGUAUGUAUAUGACGAAUGUGUUAACUUUAUUUUCAUUUAUUGAAAGCAGACAUCAGUUGAGGGACUUGUUUUUUUUUCUUUUUUUUUUUCUUUUUUUUCUUCUAGAGAAAUGUACCUUUUAGAUAAUCAAGCGUCGAAUAGAAAGCAACAGCUCUCAAUGUUGUGAAGUAUGAAAAUGACGAUGACAGAAACUGAAAUACAUAUAAUCGCGCAAUUUAUCGAUGUGUGUGAGAAGUAUUGAGAAUUAUAAUGAUAAUGAACGUACCGACAUAUAAUAAGUUAGCGACAAUGCAGCCGGAUAUGAGUUCAAAAAUAAUUGAACAAUAGCGACAAUAUCCAAUACGAGGAAUUGAAAUUUGACCGCUACUGAAUCUGACUAUCGUUAAAAAGAUAAAUGC
Vespa velutina is the source of this 6346-nucleotide long non-coding RNA. RefSeq lists it as uncharacterized. The transcript has 4 exons. The record is from RefSeq and is a predicted model, not a curated record. NCBI's taxonomy places the organism in Eukaryota, Metazoa, Arthropoda, Insecta, Hymenoptera, Vespidae.